Molecule: long non-coding RNA, 231 nt
Filed under: Olea europaea (common olive)
Lineage: Eukaryota; Viridiplantae; Streptophyta; Magnoliopsida; Lamiales; Oleaceae
Description: long non-coding RNA (OEUR_LNC013785)
Source: RNAcentral
AAAGGUCGAGGUAAUGAGAACAGAGAUUUGUAUGUCUAAAAAAUCCAUAUGACAUCAAAAUGUAAAUUAAAGGUUGGAUGGUAAACUUGAAUUUAUCUAUGGCAAAGAAGAAAGUUUAGAUUGUCCAUGUCAUGUUCUAGGCAAGAUGAAAUUGAAUUCCAUUAUCAUUUUAAAUCUUGAGAAAAAAGAUAAAUUAAGGAAGUUGAAUGGCAAUUAGAAGUUAGAUACAAG